GCUUGAAAAAUAUGACUGGGUAAAGCCUGAUUUAAUCAAUCCACCGAGUCAAUUUGAAUUAUCCAGUCCUGAUCAAAAGAAAUAACAACACGAAGCUCAAUUACCACAAAAUUUCAACUAGAAAUACUCGCCUUUCUUAAUUCUCAUAGGAUCCAAGCGAAAUCGAGCUGAGAAGACGCAGAUUUUGUCAUAUUUAACUCUACUUUUUAAAAUGAAAUACACA
RNAcentral lists this unclassified non-coding RNA (223 nucleotides) under Hevea brasiliensis (rubber tree). The record is from RNAcentral. Lineage: Eukaryota; Viridiplantae; Streptophyta; Magnoliopsida; Malpighiales; Euphorbiaceae.